Molecule: ribosomal RNA, 471 nt
Filed under: uncultured bacterium
Lineage: Bacteria
Description: bacterial SSU rRNA
Rfam family: Bacterial small subunit ribosomal RNA
Source: RNAcentral
UUUCGCAAUGCCCGAAAGGGUGACCCAGCAACGCCGCGUGGAGGAUGAAUGUCGUAAGAUUGUAAACUCCUGUUAGAGGGGAAGAAUAAUUCCGAUCGACUCGGAAAUUGACUGUACCCUCAGAGAAAGCCCCGGCUAACUACGUGCCAGCAGCCGCGGUAAUACGUAGGGGGCAAGCGUUGUCCGGAUUUACUGGGUGUAAAGGGCGCGCAGGUGGGUUGACAAGUCAGAGGUGAAAUCCUACAGCUUAACUGUAGAACUGCCCUUGAGACUGUCAAUCUUGAGUACGGAAGAGAGAGAUGGAAUUCCAGGUGUAGUGGUGAAAUACGUAGAUAUCUGGAAGAACACCAGUGGCGAAGGCGGUCUCUUGGUCCAAUACUGACACUAAGGCGCGAAAGCUAGGGGAGCAAACGGGAUUAGAUACCCCGGUAGUCCUAGCCGUAAACGAUGGGCACUAAGUAGAGGGGUUUU